RNAcentral lists this ribosomal RNA (468 nucleotides) under uncultured bacterium. Its description in RNAcentral is "partial 16S ribosomal RNA". It matches the Rfam family "Bacterial small subunit ribosomal RNA", at positions 28 to 507 of the family's 1533-position model. The record is from RNAcentral.
GACGAACGCUGGCGGCGUGCUUAACACAUGCAAGUCGAACGGAAAGGCCCUGCUUUUGUGGGGUGCUCGAGUGGAGAACGGGUGAGUAACACGUGAGUAACCUGCCCUUGACUUUGGGAUAACUUCAGGAAACUGGGGCUAAUACCGGAUAGGAGCUCCUGCUGCAUGGUGGGGGUUGGAAAGUUUCGGCGGUUGGGGAUGGACUCGCGGCUUAUCAGCUUGUUGGUGGGGUAGUGGCUUACCAAGGCUUUGACGGGUAGCCGGCCUGAGAGGGUGACCGGCCACAUUGGGACUGAGAUACGGCCCAGACUCCUACGGGAGGCAGCAGUGGGGAAUAUUGCACAAUGGGCGGAAGCCUGAUGCAGCAACGCCGCGUGCGGGAUGACGGCCUGCGGGUUGUAAACCGCUUUCGCCUGUGACGAAGCGUGAGUGACGGUAAUGGGUAAAGAAGCACCGGCUAACUACGUG